Small nucleolar RNA from Carcharodon carcharias (great white shark), 213 nucleotides. RefSeq annotates it as small nucleolar RNA U3. Lineage: Eukaryota; Metazoa; Chordata; Chondrichthyes; Lamniformes; Lamnidae. The record is from RefSeq and is a predicted model, not a curated record. The transcript has a single exon.
UUAACAGUGUUCUCCAGGGAUCAUUUCUAUAACUUUUUACUUGAGAAAUGUGUUCUUAAAAAGGCUGGUGUCUCAAACCAGGAGGAGGAGAUAUAGCAUUUCUUUUUGAGCAUGAAGCUCAGUAUUGCUUUUUGCAAGAGCUUUUAGCCAUUGAUUAUCAUUCCUUUUUCUCAUUGAGAAGAAAUUUGAGGAAGGAAAUGCAUUCUAAGUGGA